CCUACGGGAGGCAGCAGUGAGGAAUAUUGGUCAAUGGACGAGAGUCUGAACCAGCCAAGUAGCGUGAAGGAUGACUGCCCUAUGGGUUGUAAACUUCUUUUAUAUGGGAAUAAAAUGUUCCACGUGUGGGAUUUUGUAUGUACCAUAUGAAUAAGGAUCGGCUAACUCCGUGCCAGCAGCCGCGGUAAUACGGAGGAUCCGAGCGUUAUCCGGAUUUAUUGGGUUUAAAGGGAGCGUAGGUGGAUUGUUAAGUCAGUUGUGAAAGUUUGCGGCUCAACCGUAAAAUUGCAGUUGAAACUGGCAGUCUUGAGUGCAGUAGAGGUGAGCGGAAUUCGUGGUGUAGCGGUGAAAUGCUUAGAUAUCACGAAGAACUCCGGUUGCGAAGGCAGUUCACUGGACUGCAACUGACACUGAGGCUCGAAAGUGUGGGUAUCAAACAGGAUUAGAUACCCGAGUAGUC
RNAcentral lists this ribosomal RNA (460 nucleotides) under uncultured bacterium. RNAcentral's name for it is "partial 16S ribosomal RNA". It matches the Rfam family "Bacterial small subunit ribosomal RNA", at positions 338 to 795 of the family's 1533-position model. The record is from RNAcentral.